AUUGAACGCUGGCGGAAUGCUUUACACAUGCAAGUCGAACGGUAGAGGGGGCAACCCCUUGAGAGUGGCGAACGGGUGAGUAAUAUAUCGGAACGUGCCCAGUCGUGGGGGAUAACGUAGCGAAAGUUACGCUAAUACCGCAUACGAUCUAAGGAUGAAAGCGGGGGAUCGCAAGACCUCGCGCGAUUGGAGCGGCCGAUAUCAGAUUAGGUAGUUGGUGGGGUAAAGGCUCACCAAGCCAACGAUCUGUAGCUGGUCUGAGAGGACGACCAGCCACACUGGGAACUGAGACACGGUCCAGACUCCUACGGGAGGCAGCAGUGGGGAAUUUUGGACAAUGGGCGCAAGCCUGAUCCAGCAAUGCCGCGUGCAGGAUGAAGG
RNAcentral lists this ribosomal RNA (381 nucleotides) under uncultured bacterium. RNAcentral's name for it is "bacterial SSU rRNA". It matches the Rfam family "Bacterial small subunit ribosomal RNA", at positions 30 to 414 of the family's 1533-position model. The record is from RNAcentral.